This 483-nucleotide ribosomal RNA is filed under the name uncultured bacterium. Its description in RNAcentral is "partial 16S ribosomal RNA". It matches the Rfam family "Bacterial small subunit ribosomal RNA", at positions 29 to 506 of the family's 1533-position model. The record is from RNAcentral.
AUUGAACGCUGGCGGCAUGCUUUACACAUGCAAGUCGAACGGCAGCGCGGGCGUCGGCCUGGCGGCGAGUGGCGAACGGGUGAGUAAUACAUCGGAACGUGCCCAGUAGUGGGGGAUAGCUCGGCGAAAGCCGGAUUAAUACCGCAUACGACCUGAGGGUGAAAGCGGGGGAUCUUCGGACCUCGCGCUAUUGGAGCGGCCGAUGGCAGAUUAGCUAGUUGGUGGGGUAAAGGCCUACCAAGGCGACGAUCUGUAGCUGGUCUGAGAGGACGACCAGCCACACUGGGACUGAGACACGGCCCAGACUCCUACGGGAGGCAGCAGUGGGGAAUUUUGGACAAUGGGCGAAAGCCUGAUCCAGCAAUGCCGCGUGUGUGAUGAAGGCCUUCGGGUUGUAAAGCACUUUUGGCGGGAACGAAAAGGACUGUGCCAAUACCACGGUUCGAGGACGGUACCCGCAGAAUAAGCACCGGCUAACUACGU